UGGGGAAUAUUGGGCAAUGGGCGCAAGCCUGACCCAGCAACGCCGCGUGAAGGAAGAAGGCCCUCGGGUUGUAAACUUCUUUUAACAGGGACGAAGCAAGUACGGUACCUGUUGAAUAAGCCACGGCUAACUACGUGCCAGCAGCCGCGGUAAUACGUAGGUGGCAAGCGUUAUCCGGAUUUACUGGGUGUAAAGGGCGUGUAGGCGGGACUGCAAGUCAGAUGUGAAAACCAUGGGCUCAACCCAUGGCCUGCAUUUGAAACUGUAGUUCUUGAGUGUUGGAGAGGCAGGCGGAAUUCCGUGUGUAGCGGUGAAAUGCGUAGAUAUACGGAGGAACACCAGUGGCGAAGGCGGCCUGCUGGACAAUAACUGACGCUGAGGCGCGAAAGCGUGGGGAGCAAACAGGAUUAGAUACC
Molecule: ribosomal RNA, 416 nt
Filed under: uncultured bacterium
Lineage: Bacteria
Description: bacterial SSU rRNA
Rfam family: Bacterial small subunit ribosomal RNA
Source: RNAcentral